RNAcentral lists this ribosomal RNA (427 nucleotides) under uncultured bacterium. RNAcentral's name for it is "bacterial SSU rRNA". It matches the Rfam family "Bacterial small subunit ribosomal RNA", at positions 958 to 1392 of the family's 1533-position model. The record is from RNAcentral.
AACGCGAAGAACCUUACCAGGUCUUGACAUCCCUUGCAUAGCCUAGAGAUAGGUGAAGCCCUUCGGGGCAAGGAGACAGGUGGUGCAUGGUUGUCGUCAGCUCGUGUCGUGAGAUGUUGGGUUAAGUCCCGCAACGAGCGCAACCCUUACUAUUAGUUGCUACGCAAGAGCACUCUAAUGGGACUGCCGUUGACAAAACGGAGGAAGGUGGGGAUGACGUCAAAUCAUCAUGCCCUUUAUGACCUGGGCUACACACGUAAUACAAUGGCGCUUAACAACGGGAAGCGAUACCGCGAGGUGGAGCAAAUCCCCAAAAAGCGUCUCAGUUCGGAUCGCAGGCUGCAACCCGCCUGCGUGAAGUCGGAAUUGCUAGUAAUCGCGGAUCAGCAUGCCGCGGUGAAUACGUUCCCGGGUCUUGUACACACCG